This 497-nucleotide ribosomal RNA is filed under the name uncultured bacterium. Its description in RNAcentral is "partial 16S ribosomal RNA". It matches the Rfam family "Bacterial small subunit ribosomal RNA", at positions 28 to 507 of the family's 1533-position model. The record is from RNAcentral.
GAUGAACGCUGGCGGCGUGCCUAAUACAUGCAAGUCGAGCGAACAGACGAGGAGCUUGCUCCUCUGCCGUUAGCGGCGGACGGGUGAGUAACACGUGGAUCACCUACCUAUAUGACUGGGAUAACUUCGGGAAACCGGAGCUAAUACCGGAUAAUAUAUUGAACCGGAUGAUUCAAGAGUGAUAGACGGCUUUGCUGUCACUUAUAGAUGGUUCCGCGCCGCAUUAGCUAGUUGGUAAGGUAACGGCUUACCAAGGCGACGAUGCGUAGCUGACCUGAGAGGAUGAUCAGCCACACUGGAACUGAGACACGGUCCAGACUCCUACGGGAGGCAGCAGUAGGGAAUAUUCGGCAAUGGGCGAAAGCCUGAUGGAGCAAUGCCGCGUGAGUGAAGAAGGUCUUCGGAUCGUAAAGCUCUUUUAUUGGGGAAGAACAGAUGUGUAAGUAACUAUGCAUGUCUUGACGGUACCUAAUCAGAAAGCCACGGCUAACUACGUG